CGAGCCGGGCGGACGGCCGCGUGGAGUCCCCUUGAGGGGCUUCCCGAGGAACGUCCGGGCUCCACAGGGCAGGGUGGUGGCUAACGGCCACCCGGGGUGACCCGCGGGACAGUGCCACAGAAAACAAACCGCCCAGCGCUCAGGUGCUGGGUAAGGGUGAAACGGUGGUGUAAGAGACCACCAGUGCCCAGGGUGACCUGGGCAGCUAGGUAAACCCCACCCGGAGCAAGGUCAAAAGGGAGCGCCUUGGCGCUCCUGCGGAGGCGUUCGAGGGCUGCCCGCCCGAGCCCCCGGGUAGACCGCACGAGGCCGGUGGCAACGCCGGCCCUAGAUGGAUGGCCGUCUCCCCGGCCGCCGCGAGGCGACCGGGUGACAGAACCCGGCGUACAGCCCGACUCGUCUG
This 403-nucleotide RNase P RNA is filed under the name Streptomyces sp. TLI_185. RNAcentral's name for it is "Bacterial RNase P class A". It matches the Rfam family "Bacterial RNase P class A". Rfam says of the family: Ribonuclease P (RNase P) is a ubiquitous endoribonuclease, found in archaea, bacteria and eukarya as well as chloroplasts and mitochondria. The record is from Rfam by way of RNAcentral. Lineage: Bacteria; Bacillati; Actinomycetota; Actinomycetes; Kitasatosporales; Streptomycetaceae.